CUGGCCCUGAAUCAAGGCCAGCAGCUUCCUGGCGCUGGUUUCAAGCAGGAGACUAAAGAGAUGUCUUUCUAUGGUCUGCUGGCCAUUUCAGAACUUAGGCAGUGAAAUGGCCAACUCAUUAGAAAGAAAUAGCU
Small nucleolar RNA from Cavia aperea (Brazilian guinea pig), 134 nucleotides. Lineage: Eukaryota; Metazoa; Chordata; Mammalia; Rodentia; Caviidae. The record is from Ensembl.